GUUAUACAGGCAAAUCCGUAUAACAAUACUCCGAGAACUGAAAGGCUUUUUGAAGUCUUCGGAUGGAUAGAAGAACCCCUGAUGCCGUCGAGCCAAGAAAAGUUUCUAAGUUUAGCUAAUGUUGCCCGUACCGUAAACCGACACAGGUGGGUGGGAUGAGUAUUCUAAGGCGCGUGGAAGAACUCUCUUUAAGGAACUCUGCAAAAUAGCACCGUAUCUUCGGUAUAAGGUGUGGUUAGCUUUGUAUUAGGAUUUACUCCGAAAGCAAGGAAACUUACAACAAAGAGUCCCUCCCGACUGUUUACCAAAAACACAGCACUCUGCUAACUCGUAAGAGGAUGUAUAGGGUGUGACGCCUGCCCGGUGCUCGAAGGUUAAUUGAUGGGGUUAGCAUUAGCGAAGCUCUUGAUCGAAGCCCGAGUAAACGGCGGCCGUAACUAUAACGGUCCUAAGGUAGCGAAAUUCCUUGUCGGUUAAAUACCGACCUGCAUGAAUGGCGUAACGAGAUGGGAGCUGUCUCAAAGAGGGAUCCAGUGAAAUUGUAGUGGAGGUGAAAAUUCCUCCUACCCGCGGCAAGACGGAAAGACCCCGUGGACCUUUACUACAGCUUGACACUGCUACUUGGAUAAGAAUGUGCAGGAUAGGUGGGAGGCUUUGAGUAUAUGACGCCAGUUGUAUAUGAGCCAUUGUUGAGAUACCACUCUUUCUUAUUUGGGUAGCUAACCAGCUUGAGUUAUCCUCAAGUGGGACAAUGUCUGGUGGGUAGUUUGACUGGGGCGGUCGCCUCCCAAAUAAUAACGGAGGCUUACAAAGGUUGGCUCAGAACGGUUGGAAAUCGUUCGUAGAGUAUAAAGGUAUAAGCCAGCUUAACUGCAAGACAUACAAGUCAAGCAGAGACGAAAGUCGGUCUUAGUGAUCCGGUGGUUCUGUGUGGAAGGGCCAUCGCUCAAAGGAUAAAAGGUACCCCGGGGAUAACAGGCUGAUCUCCCCCAAGAGCUCACAUCGACGGGGAGGUUUGGCACCUCGAUGUCGGCUCAUCGCAUCCUGGGGCUGGAGCAGGUCCCAAGGGUAUGGCUGUUCGCCAUUUAAAGCGGUACGCGAGCUGGGUUCAGAACGUCGUGAGACAGUUCGGUCCCUAUCUGCCGUGGGCGUAAGAAGAUUGAAGAGAUUUGACCCUAGUACGAGAGGACCGGGUUGAACAAACCACUGGUGUAGCUGUUGUUCUGCCAAGAGCAUCGCAGCGUAGCUAAGUUUGGAAAGGAUAAACGCUGAAAGCAUCUAAGCGUGAAGCCAACUCUAAGAUGAAUCUUCUCUAAGCUCUCUAGAAGACUACUAGUUUGAUAGGCUGGGUGUGUAAUGGAUGAAAGUCCUUUAGCUGACCAGUACUAAUAGAGCGUUUGGCUUAUCUUUAAUAAAGCAU
Molecule: ribosomal RNA, 1420 nt
Filed under: Campylobacter jejuni
Lineage: Bacteria; Pseudomonadati; Campylobacterota; Epsilonproteobacteria; Campylobacterales; Campylobacteraceae
Description: partial 23S ribosomal RNA
Rfam family: Bacterial large subunit ribosomal RNA
Source: RNAcentral